GACCCCUUAGCUCAGCGGUAGAGCGUCGCAUUCCAGUCAUCACGCGUGUCGCGAAGGCCGUCCGUUCAAUCCGGGCAGGGGUCA
Mycena vitilis is the source of this 84-nucleotide non-coding RNA. Lineage: Eukaryota; Fungi; Basidiomycota; Agaricomycetes; Agaricales; Mycenaceae. The record is from the annotation of a GenBank genome assembly.